ACAAUGUAUGAGAGGUCUUGCCUGCCCAGUGACUACAAGUUAAACGGCCGCGGUAUUUUGACCGUGCAAAGGUAGCGCAAUCACUUGUCUUUUAAAUGAAGACCUGUAUGAAUGGUGGAACGAGGGCUUAACUGUCUCCCCCUUCAAGUCAAUGAAAUUGAUCUCCCCGUGCAGAAGCGGGCAUAACAAUACAAGACGAGAAGACCCUUUGGAGCUUGAGAUGCAAGAUCAACUAUGUCAAAAUCUUCGGUUGGGGCGACCACGGGAGACAACAAAGCUCCCACGCGGACUGGGGGAAAAACUAAGAGAGACAUCUCUAAGUCGCAGAAUAUCUGACCAACCUGCCGAUCAACGGACCAAGUUACCCUAGGGAUAACAGCGCAAUCCCCUUCCAGAGUUCAUAUCGACAAGGGGGUUUACGACCUCGAUGUUGGAUCAGGACAUCCUAAUGGUGCAGCCGCUAUUA
Molecule: ribosomal RNA, 466 nt
Filed under: Trichomycterus pradensis
Lineage: Eukaryota; Metazoa; Chordata; Actinopteri; Siluriformes; Trichomycteridae
Description: partial 16S ribosomal RNA
Rfam family: Bacterial large subunit ribosomal RNA
Source: RNAcentral